Non-coding RNA from Podarcis lilfordi (Lilford's wall lizard), 2931 nucleotides. Lineage: Eukaryota; Metazoa; Chordata; Lepidosauria; Squamata; Lacertidae. The record is from the annotation of a GenBank genome assembly.
GCGCCUAAUGACAGGGAAGUCAGACAACUCAUUAGCCAUGGCUCUGCAAAGAGAAGCUAUAGGAAGGAAAUCAAACAGAUCCCUAAGCAAGGGUGCUGUGCAUCCAGCCCUAAGUUUGAUGUAACCAGAUCUCUGGUGACAAGGGUUGGGAAGAUCAGCCUAUAUCCACCCUGUUUUAUUUUUGCUGGCACUCAACAAUAGGCAGAAAUAAGAAGCAAGGCUCAGCAACAGAUAUAGCUGUGCUUCAUAAUAUUAUAUGGGUGGGAGGCGAUCAUUAAAAUGAGAGUCAAAUAUCCAAGUCUCACAAUAAAUUUAAAAGAAUUUGGAAAGUUUAGAAACUGGCUUGAGUGAAGAUAGUUAAUUCCUCUUGUUAUAUAAUACAGAUAGUUGGGGUUUUUGUUUGUUCUACAGAGCAGGCUAUGGGAAUGAGACUUAAAUCAUCAAAGAACAGCCCCCCAAAAGUAGACUCUUUGUUAUCUUUCUGCCUAAAUGGGGAAAAAAGCCAUUUUGCUUCUCAUAUGUCACUUUACAAACAAGAGAUAAAUUUGAGAAACAAGGGAGGAAAACAAAUUCAGUAUUUUUUGGGAAACUGUUUCCCAUUAUAUAUGGCACCCAGUGUGCGUUGGGGGGAAAGUUUAAUGAUAGUGAAUACGAAUGAUGCACAGGCUAAGUUUUCAUAAACAGUUAAUGAGGUAAUGAACUUGUAGCUUGACUCUAUCACUUCAGAUUGUAGGUGAGGGUUCACAGGAUGGCAUGCAACUCACGGGGAAAUAAAUCCAAGCCAUUGAAAUCUAGCACGUCAGGAAGAAGGCCAGAGGUGAACUGUUAUGAUAUCUGGUUUUCUGUGGACAUGGUAUGUUUUCUUUUCGUAUGGGUGAACAUUCAGUCAUGAGUCAGGACUCUAGGCAAUCUGAAGUGAAAAGGGCAGACAGAGAUUUAGCACCUCACUUGCUGUUUAUGAUAACUGGAUUUCAGAGCAUGGGUGAAGAACCCGUGGCCCUUCAAAUGAUACUGACCUAUCACUCCUGACUAGUGGUGAUGCUGGCUAGGGAUAAUGGGAGCAGAGGUGGUUUUAGGGUAGCAUGACUGGUUUGGCCGCACUGGGCACAGGUGCCACUGCAGGUGACGAAACAAUGUUAUAGAGUGGAGUGUGAGAGGCUAGGAGGUGCUGAAUUUUAGUGUCACACAGGGUGCCACUGAAAUUUGAGAGCCCAAAGCCUGCCACUGAUGGGAGGUAGAUUCCAAUGUCAUCUCGAGGGCACAUAUUCUCCACUCCUGUUUUAGAGUCUAUACAGAUAGCUGGACUAUAUUUUACAGGAGGAUGGGGCCAGGCCUCAGAGGUCCAAGAGCUCGGACUGCUUCCUGGUUUUGUUUAAUUUAUUAUGAUGAUGAUGAUGAUACACAGAAACAAAAUAAGGCACUUUUAACUCUUUGACAUCACAUAAUCUAUAUUAUUUAACAAAAAUCACAUCUUUUAUCAAAUCACAUCCCUUAUUUGCUUCAGUUUGUAGCUCUUAAGCUGAGAGACUGCGUCACAAUUUGGUCCCACUAAUAAUCAGUUGCAAAUACCAAAAAAGGGUUAAUUUUUUUGGGGGGGAGGUCUUAAACUUGACACCCCAGGGCCAAACGGCCUUCCCAGUCCUUCCGCUGAUUGGCCCUGCUUGGAACAAGUCAUGAGAGCCAUUUUAAACGUCAUCCUUUAGGUCUGGUGACAAAUCAAUAAUGUGAGGCACAGUGUGUUGAAAAACCUUGACAAAUUGCCAUCACAACUCAGCAGCAUUUGCCAAGUGAUGCUGUGCUACAGCAAUGGUACGGCUGUUGAUGUGGCAAAUUUCACUACGCUUAGGGAUAGUUGUGAAGCCUGCCUGAGGAAGCUUGCAGGUCAGGCUGUUGACUCAUUUAGCUUCCACUGAAGUUUUUUGGGAUAUUGUGCUUAGGCAGGAAUAACUGGAUCUGGGCUCCGCUGUGGGAGAACAUUAGGGGCCACUCUGAUUAUGACAUCCAGGAAGAGCCGGGGGGUAAAAAUGGGAGGUUUUGUGAAGUAUGCUGACCUGUAUCCUUGAUCUGCACUUAGAUCUGGCUUCUGUGUGCAUUGAUCUGCCAGCACGUCUAUUAACCUUCUAUUAACCUCCCAGCCUUAGCUACAUCCUAGUAGGCAAACUGUUUCUUUUGAGCAACGGCAAGGAGGAGCCUGCCCAGAUGGCAUAGCUGGAAAGCCUUCUCAGCAUGAGGGCCAGGUACUGAUUGUCCUGGAACUUCACAAAUCAUUAGAGGAUCCCCACUGCUGCCUUUCUCAAAUCCCUAGCAUAUGUAGAUAUUCAGAGAUGACACAAUUAAUUAACAUAUAUUAUUGACAGCUGGAUCUGGGCCUCUCUGUUGCCAAAGGGGACGUGUGUUGUUUUUCAGCUGAAGAGCUGAGAGGGCAACUCACAAACAAACCUUUAUUCUAUGCUGUUCCUUCUCUAAAUGAAAUGCUGCACUGGCUUCAUCAGAUAUAAAGCUAUUUUAAAUCAACACUCAUGGCAGUUUGAUUGCUGUGUGACACUGUCCUCAGUGCUUCAUUCUAGAAGAGUGCCUGGCAACUAUUUCGGUUGUCGGGCCAUAUCUGUCACCUAUAUGAGAUCAAGUCUCAGCAGGAUUUCUCCCUCUUUCACUUUCUCUACACUCUUUUAUUGAUUUGAAAGUGUAUAAUUCACUAUUUCAUAAAAUAUACUGAGGUGUCUUACAAAAUAUAAAAUACAAUAAAACACACACACAUCUUUAAAACAUAAUACACAUCAGUAAAACAUCAGUAAAUACUUACUGGUUUAAAGAAAAAUUAAUAUUGUGAAAGCCUAUCUAAAUUUAUUUUAUUUAUUGAUUGAAUUUAUAUCCUGCCCUAAACCUGGGGGUCUCAAGGCUGUUCACAGAAUAAAAUCAAGAUAUAAAACC